This 497-nucleotide ribosomal RNA is filed under the name uncultured bacterium. RNAcentral describes it as "partial 16S ribosomal RNA". It matches the Rfam family "Bacterial small subunit ribosomal RNA", at positions 28 to 507 of the family's 1533-position model. The record is from RNAcentral.
GAUGAACGCUGGCGGCGUGCCUAAUACAUGCAAGUCGAGCGAACAGACGAGGAGCUUGCUCCUCUGACGUUAGCGGCGGACGGGUGAGUAACACGUGGAUAACCUACCUAUAAGACUGGGAUAACUUCGGGAAACCGGAGCUAAUACCGGAUAAUAUAUUGAACCGCAUGGUUCAAUAGUGAAAGACGGUUUUGCUGUCACUUAUAGAUGGAUCCGCGCCGCAUUAGCUAGUUGGUAAGGUAACGGCUUACCAAGGCGACGAUGCGUAGCCGACCUGAGAGGGUGAUCGGCCACACUGGAACUGAGACACGGUUCAGACUCCUACGGGAGGCAGCAGCAGGGAAUCUUCCGCAAUGGGCGAAAGCCUGACGGAGCAACGCCGCGUGAGUGAUGAAGGUCUUCGGAUCGUAAAACUCUGUUAUUAGGGAAGAACAAAUGUGUAAGUAACUAUGCACGUCUUGACGGUACCUAAUCAGAAAGCCACGGCUAACUACGUG